This 253-nucleotide ribosomal RNA is filed under the name uncultured bacterium. RNAcentral describes it as "partial 16S ribosomal RNA". It matches the Rfam family "Bacterial small subunit ribosomal RNA", at positions 524 to 776 of the family's 1533-position model. The record is from RNAcentral.
UACGGAGGGUGCGAGCGUUGUCCGGAAUCACUGGGCGUAAAGGGCGCGUAGGCGGCCUGAUAAGUAGGGGGUGAAAUCCUGCGGCUUAACCGCAGGGCUGCCUUCUAAACUGUCAGGCUAGAGCACAGUAGAGGCAGGUGGAAUUCCCGGUGUAGCGGUGGAAUGCGUAGAGAUCGGGAGGAACACCAAAGGCGAAGGCAGUGUCCUGGGGAGUACCUGACGCUCAGGUGCGAAAGCCAGGGGAGCGAACGGG